Molecule: ribosomal RNA, 548 nt
Filed under: uncultured Rhizophagus
Lineage: Eukaryota; Fungi; Glomeromycota; Glomeromycetes; Glomerales; Glomeraceae
Description: SSU rRNA
Rfam family: Eukaryotic small subunit ribosomal RNA
Source: RNAcentral
UUGGAGGGCAAGUUGGUGCCAGCAGCCGCGGUAAUUCCAGCUCCAAUAGCGUAUAUUAAAGUUGUUGCAGUUAAAAAGCUCGUAGUUGAAUUUCGGGGUCAGUAGGUUGGUCAUGCCACUGGUAUGUACUGGUCUCACUGAUUCCUCCUUCCUGAUGAACUGUAAUGCCAUUAAUUUGGUGUUGCAGGGAAUCUGGACUGUUACUUUGAAAAAAUUAGAGUGUUUAAAGCAGGCUAACGCUUGAAUACAUUAGCGUGGAAUAAUGAAAUAGGACGUUCGACCCUAUUUUGUUGGUUUCUAGGAUCGACGUAAUGAUUAAUAGGGAUAGUUGGGGGCAUUAGUAUUCAAUUGUCAGAGGUGAAAUUCUUGGAUUUAUUGAAGACUGACUACUGCGAAAGCAUUUGCCAAGGAUGUUUUCAUUAAUCAAGAACGAAAGUUAGGGGAUCGAAGACGAUCAGAUACCGUCGUAGUCCUAACCAUAAACUAUGCCGACUAGGGAUCGGAUGAUGUUAAUUUUUUAAUGGCUCAUUCGGCGCCUUACGGGAAAC